Long non-coding RNA from Aquila chrysaetos chrysaetos, 1108 nucleotides. RefSeq lists it as uncharacterized. The transcript is spliced from 2 exons. The record is from RefSeq and is a predicted model, not a curated record. NCBI's taxonomy places the organism in Eukaryota, Metazoa, Chordata, Aves, Accipitriformes, Accipitridae.
AGGGCCCCUGCCCUAGGGUUACCGAAUGUCUCCAAACCGUUUUGGUUGUUCUCCUACGAGAGACAAGGAAUUGCUUUAGGAGUGUUGGCACAAAGACUUGGUCCCUACAAACGAGCAGUGGCUUAUUUCUCUAAACAAUUAGAUGAAGUAAGCAAAGGCUGGCCAAGCUGCCUUCGAGCUGUUGCAGCAGUUGUAAUUAAUAUCCAAGAAGCCCGAAAGUUUACUAUGGGCCAGAAAAUAACAGUACUAGUCUCUCACACGGUAUCAGCGGUCCUAGAACAAAAAGGGAGCCAUUGGCUCUCACCCCAAAGGUUUCUGAAAUAUCAAGCAAUAUUGGUAGAACAAGAUGAUAUAGAAAUUGUGGUUACUAAUAUUGUCAAUCCAGCCUCUUUCCUCAGUGGGACUCUAGAUGAGCCAGUGACACAUGAUUGUAUUGAAACCAUGGAAGCCACUUAUUCAAGCCGACCAGACCUUAAGGAAGAACCUUUGGAGGAUGCAGAGGACUCCUGGUAUACAGACGGGAGCAGUUUCCUGCAACAAGGACAACGUAAGGCUGGGUAUGCCAUCACAACAACUCAACAGGUAAUUGAAUCACAACCGUUACCCCCCGGGAACUUCGGCCCAAAAAGCAGAAAUAAUUGCUCUAACUCGGGCAUUAGAGCUAGCAAAAGGGAAGAGGAUAAACAUCUGGACGGACUCUAAAUAUGCGUUUGGUGUAGUACAUGCUCAUGGGGCCAUUUGGAAAGAGCGAGGACUACUGACUGCCCAAGGAAAACAAGUAAAACACGCUGAAGAAAUCCUAAGACUAUUAGAGGCUGUACAACAACCGGAGAGAGUGGCCAUUAUGCAUUGCCGAGGACAUCAGAAAGGAAAUACUGACUCGGAAAUUGGAAAUCGUCUGGCUGAUUAUGAAGCCAGGAGAGUGGCGAAAUCAGGAGAAAAGGUUUUAUCCUUAAUACCAGACGGUAAAAUCCAAACUACUUUUUCAGGACAACCCUUGGAGGAGAAGUGGGAAGGACCUUAUCAAGUCUUACUGACGACUUUCACUGCUAUCAGGAUCAAAGAACAGCCUGCCUGGAUCCACUAUUCGAGAGUGAAGAAAGCACCC